This 490-nucleotide ribosomal RNA is filed under the name uncultured bacterium. RNAcentral's name for it is "partial 16S ribosomal RNA". It matches the Rfam family "Bacterial small subunit ribosomal RNA", at positions 30 to 507 of the family's 1533-position model. The record is from RNAcentral.
AUUGAACGCUGGCGGCAGGCCUAACACAUGCCAGUCGAACGGUAACAGGAAACAGCUUGCUGUUUCGCUGACGAGUGGCGGACGGGUGAGUAAUGUCUGGGAAACUGCCUGAUGGAGGGGGAUAACUACUGGAAACGGUAGCUAAUACCGCAUAACGUCGCAAGACCAAAGAGGGGGACCUUCGGGCCUCUUGCCAUCGGAUGUGCCCAGAUGGGAUUAGCUAGUAGGUGGGGUAACGGCUCACCUAGGCGACGAUCCCUAGCUGGUCUGAGAGGAUGACCAGCCGCACUGGAACUGAGACACGGUCCAGACUCCUACGGGAGGCAGCAGUGGGGAAUAUUGCACAAUGGGCGCAAGCCUGAUGCAGCCAUGCCGCGUGUAUGAAGAAGGCCUUCGGGUUGUAAAGUACUUUCAGCGGGGAUGAAGGGAGUAAAGUUAAUACCUUUGCUCAUUGACGUUACCCGCAGAAGAAGCACCGGCUAACUCCGUG